UAAAAUCUCAGUGAAAAAUUCUGUUUUGGAAUUUGCUUAUUGUUAUUGCUACUAGAUGGUACUAUGAAUGAAAACGCAAAUAUUAUCAUGAUGACAAUGAUGUGUGAUAUUCUUUCCUCUGGACUGUCAGUCAAAGUCAGGAAGUGGUAGAAAUUCCCUCUCAGCUUUUCCAUCUGUCACUUUUAUUAUUGAUCACAGCCCAGGGGUCACGAAUCUACGCACACACACAUUUACACGCACACACGCAGUGUGAAGUGAAGUGACAGCUGUUUUCCCAGCGAAGCUGCUUGUCACCUGCGCCGAAGACCUGGACCUCCGUGUCGGCCAGGACCUCCUGCUGCGUGACAUCAUCAAGAUGGGACACAGGUGGUGCCACUGGAGUACAUGAGCUCAUGCUUCAUGCUAAUAUGCUAACAACAGACUGGAGUUUCUGAGGGACGAAGAAGACAAGCAGCAGGCGCAAGAACAAGAGGAGGAAGAGGAGAUGGAAAGCUGGAAUGAAGACGCAAUGAGCACAGGUUAGCACCAAGUCUUUAGCAAAUAAAUAAUAUUACUCAUAUUCAUGAU
Molecule: long non-coding RNA, 567 nt
Organism: Syngnathus acus (greater pipefish)
Lineage: Eukaryota; Metazoa; Chordata; Actinopteri; Syngnathiformes; Syngnathidae
Exons: 3
Source: RefSeq, a predicted model, not a curated record